UGGGCCGUGGUGCAAUUGGUAGCACGUCUGACUCUGGAUCAGAAGGUUCAAGGUUCGAGUCCUUGCGGCCCAG
This 73-nucleotide transfer RNA is filed under the name Phycisphaerales bacterium. RNAcentral's name for it is "tRNA-Gln". It matches the Rfam family "tRNA". Rfam says of the family: Transfer RNA (tRNA) molecules are approximately 80 nucleotides in length. Their secondary structure includes four short double-helical elements and three loops (D, anti-codon, and T loops). Lineage: Bacteria; Pseudomonadati; Planctomycetota; Phycisphaerae; Phycisphaerales. The record is from RNAcentral.